GAUGAACGCUGGCGGCGUGCCUAAUACAUGCAAGUCGAACGCACAGCGAAAGGUGCUUGCACCUUUCAAGUGAGUGGCGAACGGGUGAGUAACACGUGGACAACCUGCCUCAAGGCUGGGGAUAACAUUUGGAAACAGAUGCUAAUACCGAAUAAAACUUAGUGUCGCAUGACACAAAGUUAAAAGGCGCUUCGGCGUCACCUAGAGAUGGAUCCGCGGUGCAUUAGUUAGUUGGUGGGGUAAAGGCCUACCAAGACAAUGAUGCAUAGCCGAGUUGAGAGACUGAUCGGCCACAUUGGGACUGAGACACGGCCCAAACUCCUACGGGAGGCUGCAGUAGGGAAUCUUCCACAAUGGGCGAAAGCCUGAUGGAGCAACGCCGCGUGUGUGAUGAAGGCUUUCGGGUCGUAAAGCACUGUUGUAUGGGAAGAUAAUGACUGUACCGGAAGAAUAAGCCCCGGCUAACUUCG
Molecule: ribosomal RNA, 470 nt
Filed under: uncultured Leuconostoc sp.
Lineage: Bacteria; Bacillati; Bacillota; Bacilli; Lactobacillales; Lactobacillaceae
Description: bacterial SSU rRNA
Rfam family: Bacterial small subunit ribosomal RNA
Source: RNAcentral